This 586-nucleotide long non-coding RNA is filed under the name Brassica napus (rape). RNAcentral describes it as "long non-coding RNA (BNAP_LNC003596)". The record is from RNAcentral. Lineage: Eukaryota; Viridiplantae; Streptophyta; Magnoliopsida; Brassicales; Brassicaceae.
UUUGGUAGUUAACCAGUCAUAAGUUAUCCGCAAACGCACCAAUUUUUAACCGCAAUACCAGUCGUACAAAUCUCUUAAAACCGCUAGAAACCGCAACCGCCCGCAUCCACAAACUCCCGCAACCGCAACCGUUGCGUUUAAACUAGUCAGGCCCUAAAUUAACUAAAAAUUAGAAUCUUAAAUCUUAAUAAAGUAUGCAUUCUAGCUCCCCUUAUAUUUAACACGUCCAGUAUCUGGAUUACCAAAAAAUUAUCAUCCACUAUACGUGCGUUAUGCAUGUGUUCGUAUUUAUGAAAAUAAGAUAAAAAUCAAAUCUAUUAUUAAAUUCUAAUAGUUUUUUAUUCAAUAAUUUUUUAAAAAAAAUUAUGGCGCCGUUUUUUCUUUACUUGUUGACGCGGCAAAUAUCUCAGACCUCUAGAAACCAACAAAUUAUGCGAGCAAUAAUAUGACUACUUAUAAAUUCGAUCAUAGCAUAUAAUUUAUUUCGAUCAGUUACAUCACGUGUUAUGCAUUAUCUGUCUGGUCAACGUAGUAACGUAGUGGAAAAAUGAAAAGCUAUGCCGCGUCUAGUUGUCAAUAUAUAAAG